Rattus norvegicus (Norway rat) is the source of this 840-nucleotide non-coding RNA. The record is from RefSeq and is a predicted model, not a curated record. NCBI's taxonomy places the organism in Eukaryota, Metazoa, Chordata, Mammalia, Rodentia, Muridae.
GGGAGCAACUCGAUGGUGGGUUAAGGUUCAAUUGCAUUGAGCUCUCACUGCAAUGAAGGAGAGAGGAAAAGUAGAAUACAUGCUGUGGUUUAACUGGAACUAGUCAAUCUGUGGGAACUCGUGGUUGCCAGACAGGAAGGCAGAAAAAGUGAGAAGGCACACGCGCGCGUGCGCGCACACACACACACACACACACACACACACACACACACGUAUCCUAGCUCUGUCUGCAGAAGAGUCUUGUUACCAAUGAGUGCUCAUCAGCAGGCUCCCAGAAUGCACUUCUGAACCCCAUUCUCCAAGACAAAGCUAAGUAAGUCUCCAUGGCACUUUCAGUUCCAGAAACACAAACCCCAGAGAUGGCACAGAGAAAACACAAGGCGGGCUUCAGUGAUGAGCUUUUUAGAGGGCAAGUUGCCCCAGGCAACAGUGAGGUAAUAAUGAGAACACGAGGGCCAGGGCUGGUGGGAUGGCUUGGUGAGUAAGGCACUUGCCACUAAGCCUGAUAAUCCUAGCUCAGCGGCAGGAAUCCACACGGUCCUCUGACCUCCACACACUGCCACAGCACAGGAUGCUCAUGAACACACACAUGCAGGACGCAGUGAAUAAGACAUACAAGUAUCUUUAAAACAUUCCUGUUGGGCUGGAGAGAUGGCUCAGCGGUUAAGAGCACCCGACUGCUCUUCCAGAGGUCAUGAGUUCAAUUCCCAGCAACCACAUGGUGGCUCACAACCAUCUGUAAAGAGAUCCGAUGCCCUCUUCUGGUGUAUCUGAAGACAGCUACAGUGUACUUAUAUAUAAUAAAUAAAUAAAUCUUUAAAACAUUCCUGUCAAAGGCUG